AGCAGCCGCGGUAAUUCCAGCUCCAAUAGCGUAUAUUAAAGUUGUUGCAGUUAAAAAGCUCGUAGUUGAAUUUCGGGGUUAGUAGGUUGGUCAUGCCUCUGGUAUGCACUGGCCUCACUGAUUCCUCCUUCCUGAUGAGCCGUAAUGCCAUUAAUUUGGUGUUGCGGGGAAUUUGGACUGUUACUUUGAAAAAAUUAGAGUGUUUAAAGCAAGCUAACGCUUGAAUACAUUAGCAUGGAAUAAUGAAAUAGGACGUUCGAUCCUAUUUUGUUGGUUUCUAGGAUUGACGUAAUGAUUAAUAGGGAUAGUUGGGGGCAUUAGUAUUCAAUUGUCAAAGGUGAAAUUCUUGGAUUUAUUGAAGACUAACUACUGCGAAAGCAUUUGCCAAGGAUGUUUUCAUUAAUCAAGAACGAAAGUUAGGGGAUCGAAGACGAUCAGAUACCGUCGUAGUCUUAACCAUAAACUAUGCCGACUAGGGAUCGGAUGAUGUUAAUUUUUUAAUGACUCAUUCGACGCCUUA
RNAcentral lists this ribosomal RNA (520 nucleotides) under uncultured Glomus. RNAcentral describes it as "SSU rRNA". It matches the Rfam family "Eukaryotic small subunit ribosomal RNA", at positions 569 to 1090 of the family's 1831-position model. The record is from RNAcentral. Lineage: Eukaryota; Fungi; Glomeromycota; Glomeromycetes; Glomerales; Glomeraceae.